Molecule: RNA transcript, 3874 nt
Organism: Mus musculus (house mouse)
Lineage: Eukaryota; Metazoa; Chordata; Mammalia; Rodentia; Muridae
Gene: H2-M5
Gene name: histocompatibility 2, M region locus 5
Exons: 6
Source: RefSeq, marked validated
AUACAGAGAAACCCUGUCUCGAAAAAAAAGAAAAGGAAAAAUGAAAAAAUCUCCAGCAAUCUUAAGAGAAACCUAACACACAUAGUUUUUAACCUGACAUGCAAGUGUACUUUCAAGCAAAAUAUAAACUCAUACCUAUACAAUACAAUGAAAAAUUUUAUGUUAAGAUGUUUCGCUACCUCUUUCCCUCUCUUCCCUUUUCUCUCCGCCUCCCAUAACCUGACAUUUCAGAACCUAAUAUUUCAAUGAGUCACUAUCCAUGUGAAAAGCAGAGCUUGAGCUAGAAGAACUUAACCCUGUCUCCAAUAGGACCCAUCCCAGAAGCAUUAAUGUCCCCACUGCUAAACUUCCGGUGGUGCAUUCUUCUCGAUUUCCACCCAGCAUUCCUUUUGUCCUCCCUCCCAGGCUCAAUUUACCUAUUUUGACUUCUGUGACCUCCUUGUCGUCCCUGGACCUUGCCCUGGGUGGCUCUGGCUCCUCCCCCAUCUUAUUUGUGGAAAGUUCUGGGCUUGUUCCCAGGAGGAGGGAAGUUCUAGCCCAAAUGGAAGCUACAAACUAGCUGUGUAGUCAAGCUGGAGACUUGUAUCAUGAAUCAGAGUCCACCAUCACUCAAAGAAGAGGACACAUCUGUGUUUGCCUAGAUUUGGGAAGCACUCAGACUCUGUUAGCACUUGACACUGCUUUGAGUUCUGAGUCAGGUCUCAGGAAGUUUCUGUAAGAGGUUGUAGGGUCUUCUAGCCUCAAUAUCACGGCCACACGAGGGCGCUGCUGCUCUGACCUCUCAGAUUGUGUCUGAUUGGGAAUCAGUUGGAAGUGGCCUACUGAAACCUGGAUGGACAAGGGUGGUUAGGAAUGAGAUGUUUCUGACCACCCAGAUCUACGCAGUAGGUGGAAGAAAGUUAGAGCUGUUAGAAGGAAUCCUGUAGUAUCUCUGAGUAUUCCCCUCUCCAUCUGUUUGCUGUCAACACUGGAAAAUGGAACAGAUUGCUUUGUUGUUCCAGUUUCUGUUGGUUAGUUGUGGGGUAGAGACAGUGUAUAUAUGCACACAGAGCAGGGGAUUCAACCCAGGGAAUAUAUUAAUUAGGCAAUCUAUUACUGAGCCACACUCCCUGUCCCUGAAAACUAUUUUCUAAUCAUGACCUUUUAAAUUUUAGAAUGUAAGGGACUGGAGAGAUGGCUUAGUGUUUAAGAGCACGUACCGCUCUUGCAGAGGGCCUGAAUUUAGUUCUCAGCACCCACAUCAGAUGGAUCACAAGUCUGCAACUUCAGCUUCUCUGUAACACACACAUAAAUAAAUCUUAAAAUAAAAUUUAGGAUGCUUUUAUUUUCCCCAGAGAAACUGCAAAGGUAAUAUAUAGAGUCACCAGUUUCUCUGUUUAAAACAUCCUACAGGGCUGGAGAGACAGCUCCAUGGUCAAGAGCAUAUUGUCUGCUCAUACAGAGGACCCAGUUCCAAUUCCAACACUCACAUGGUAGCUCACAGUCCUCUUAUGACUUCCAAGGGCACUGCAUAUGUGCUUCUCAUGACCUCAUGCAAGCAUACAUAUACAUGCAUAAAACUAAAUCUCACAUCACCAUACAUUUUAUAACCCAUGAAACUAUAUGGACACACUUAUUUAUACAUAUUUUAUUUACACUCUUCAGUUGUUACUAAUGUCCUUUUUUUUUCCUAGGACGUUAUCCAAGGCACCACACACUCGGUCUCAGUUGAUCCUUAGGGCUCCUCUGUGACAAUUUCUCUGAUUUUCCUAGAUUUUGAUAACCCUGAAACUUUUGAGGAGGACUAGCCCCACAUACUGAUGAAUGUUAUUUGACUUAAGUUUGACUGGGACCAUGCAUUUAAGAAGUCCAGAGAGGCAAAAUGAUGCCUGCACCGUGUCAAGGUUGUGCACCAUGCUCUUGAUUUGUCCUGGGGGAAAACCUAUGCAUCACAAGAAGUGACCUGUUGGGGGAAAGUUUAUUUUGGCUCUCAGUCAAAAGGAACUCACUUUCUGGUAUAAAGCGAAAGGCCCUGAAAAGCAUAGUGGGCUGGGCUGCUUCAUCUUUAAAUAUGGAGUGGAAGUAUGAAUGCAAACGAGGACAUGGCUGCUGCUAGGAAUGGUUGAAGAGAAGGUUUUCGGGGAUUUUUUACUGUAGAUGUGAGGGAGAGUUCUGCCAGAUGCAUCUGGAAAGAUCCUCCCAAGGCACAUGUGACCCAUCACCCCAGACCUGAAGGUGAAGUCACCCUGAGGUGCUGGGCCCUGGGCUUCUACCCUGCUAACAUCAUCCUGACCUGGCAGUGGGAUGAGGAAGACCUGACUCAGGACAUGGACCUCAUUGAGACCAGACCUGCAGGGGAUGGGACCUUCCAGAAGUGGGCAUCUGUGGUGGUACCUUCUGGAGAGGAACAGAGAUACACAUGUCAUGUGCAACAUGAGGGGCUAACCCAGCCCCUUGUUCUAAAAUGGGACCCUUCUAAGCACACCAUUCCCAUCAUGGGAAUCACUGUUGGCCUGCUUCUCUUUGGAGUUGUGUUUACUGGAGCUGUGGUUGCCAUAGUGAUGAGGAAGAGGAAAGGGUCUCACACUGUACCCUAGACUGGGCUGGAACUCACUGUGUAGCUGUGAAUGCUAAUCUUCAUUGUCAGAUUGACUGGAUCUCAAAUCUCACAGGAAAUGUCUGUGAAGGUGUUUUCCAGAGACUAACCAAAGGAGGGGAGAGCUGCACUGUGGGGGGAGCUGCACUGAAUGAUUUGGGGGCCCAGAUUGAAGACAUGGGAGGGAGAGGAGGAAGCCAGAUGAGGGGCAGCAUCCCCACACUCUGCCCCACACUUUGGAACUGGAAUUGCUUGUGAGCCACAGCCUGGGUGGUGAGAAUCAAACCAAGAUGCUCUUAACCUGGGCCAACUUUCUAGCCCCUGCAUUUACAUUUCUAUAAGCCCGCUUCAAAAGCAUCAUGAAAUGCUACUGUAACCUCCUCAAUAUCUGCAUCUAUUCUGUGACCCUCAUCUAUACAUAUAUUUACAGUGUGAUAUGUCAUAUUUGAGAGAAUAUUAGUAAUUAAGAUUGGAAUAAAUGGAUAUGGGUUUGCUUCAAUUAGAUUACCAAGGAAAGCAAUAUUACCUGCCAAAUUCUCACCAUGGAAACUGAAUUCACUUAUUGAAUUUAUUGUAAUUCAAUUGUGACAUUUUGGAAACAUACAAGCUUGAUCAUUUUUCUUUCUGUUUGUGCUGUUUGGUUUGGUUUUUUGAAACACUGUUUCUCGGUGUAGCCCUGGCUGUCGUGGAACUCACUCAGUAGGUCAGGCUGGCAUGUACCACUAUUGCCCAGCCUCAUCUAUGUUUCUUUGGUUGAGAAAGAGUAUCAUGUAACCCAGGCUGGCCUCAAACUCAUGGCAAACCUCCUUUCUUAGCCUAACCUCCCACAUGCUUGUUCUUCAGUGAUGAGCUAAAUUUUAAGUAUAUUUUUAAAAUAUUACAUUAAUUCUGAAAAAAUUUUUAUGUGGAUGUGGGGAGAAGAUCAAGUUGUGUGAUUCUGAUCGAAGGUUCCGUCAGGAAAACAGUUUUAAUGUGCAUUCCAUAGACCCAGACAAACUCUUUCUCAUAAAGAAAUCAAACAGUACAACAGAGUUUUUAAUACGGUUUUUUGCUUCUUUGUUUCCCAUUUGUGGUAACUUAUACUUUUAUUGGUUUCCUUAAAACUAAAAGUAGGCCAUCACUGGGGAAGAGAGGCCCCUUGGUAUUGCAAACUUUAUAUGCCCCAGUACAGUGGAAUGCCAGGGCCAGAAGCAGGAGUGGGUAGGUAGGGGGGCAGGGCAGGGGGAGGGUAUAGUGAACUUUCGGGAUAGCAUUUGAAAUGUAUAUAAAGAAAAUACCUAAUAAAAAAUUUUUUUAAAG